This 66-nucleotide transfer RNA is filed under the name Cranuca inversa. RNAcentral describes it as "tRNA-Leu". Lineage: Eukaryota; Metazoa; Arthropoda; Malacostraca; Decapoda; Ocypodidae. The record is from RNAcentral.
ACUAUUUUGGCAGAUGAUAUGCGUUGGAUUUAGGAUCCUAUAAGAUAGAGUAUUCUAUAAAUAGUU